This 440-nucleotide ribosomal RNA is filed under the name uncultured bacterium. RNAcentral's name for it is "partial 16S ribosomal RNA". It matches the Rfam family "Bacterial small subunit ribosomal RNA", at positions 338 to 795 of the family's 1533-position model. The record is from RNAcentral.
CCUACGGGCGGCUGCAGUGGGGAAUAUUGCACAAUGGGGGAAACCCUGAUGCAGCGACGCCGCGUGUAGGAAGACGGUCCUCUGGAUUGUAAACUACUGUCCCCAGGGAGGAAAAUGACGGUACCUGCGGAGGAAGCCCCGGCUAACUACGUGCCAGCAGCCGCGGUAAUACGUAGGUGGCGGGGGUUGUCCGGAAUUACUGGGUGUAAAGGGAGCGUGGGGGGGGAUGAAAGUUGGCUGUAAAAUCUAGAGGCUAAACUGGUAGCCGCUGUUGAAACUGUAGAUCUUGAGUGAAGUAGAGGUAGGCGGAAUGCCGAGUGUAGCGGUGAAAUGCGUAGAUAUUAGGAGGAACACCAGUGGCGAAGGCGGCCUGCUGGGCUUUAACUGACGCUGAGGCUCGAAAGUGUGGGGAGCAAACAGGAUUAGAUACCCGAGUAGUC